Molecule: transfer RNA, 81 nt
Filed under: Pachytriton granulosus
Lineage: Eukaryota; Metazoa; Chordata; Amphibia; Caudata; Salamandridae
Description: tRNA-Pro
Rfam family: tRNA (bases 10-81)
About the family: Transfer RNA (tRNA) molecules are approximately 80 nucleotides in length. Their secondary structure includes four short double-helical elements and three loops (D, anti-codon, and T loops). Further hydrogen bonds mediate the characteristic L-shaped molecular structure. tRNAs have two regions of fundamental functional importance: the anti-codon, which is responsible for specific mRNA codon recognition, and the 3' end, to which the tRNAs corresponding amino acid is attached (by aminoacyl-tRNA synthetases). tRNAs cope with the degeneracy of the genetic code in two manners: having more than one tRNA (with a specific anti-codon) for a particular amino acid; and 'wobble' base-pairing, i.e. permitting non-standard base-pairing at the 3rd anti-codon position.
Source: RNAcentral
AAAAUAAGUCAAGAGGUAGUUUAGGGCCCAGAAUUUUGGCUUUGGGUGCCAGUGGCGGAAGUGAAAAUCUUUCCCUCUUGA